Molecule: ribosomal RNA, 578 nt
Filed under: uncultured bacterium
Lineage: Bacteria
Description: bacterial SSU rRNA
Rfam family: Bacterial small subunit ribosomal RNA
Source: RNAcentral
CCUACGGGAGGCAGCAGUAGGGAAUAUUGGGCAAUGGAGGAAACUCUGACCCAGCCAUGCCGCGUGCAGGAUGACGGCCCUCUGGGUUGUAAACUGCUUUUAUACGGGAAGAAAAAAUACUACGUGUAGUAUACUGACGGUACCGUAAGAAUAAGGAUCGGCUAACUCCGUGCCAGCAGCCGCGGUAAUACGGAGGAUCCAAGCGUUGUCCGGAUUUAUUGGGUUUAAAGGGUGCGUAGGCAGAUCUUUAAGUCAGUGGUGAAAGCCUGCAGCUUAACUGUAGAACAGCCAUUGAAACUGGAGAUCUUGAAUGUGGUUAAAGUAGGCGGAAUGUAUCAUGUAGCGGUGAAAUGCUUAGAUAUGAUACAGAACACCGAUAGCGAAGGCAGCUUGCUGAACCAUUAUUGACGCUGAGGCACGAAAGCGUGGGGAGCGAACAGGAUUAGAUACCCUGGUAGUCCACGCCCUAAACGUUGAUUACUCGUUGUUGGCGAUAUACUGUCAGCGACCAAGCUAAAGCGUUAAGUAAUCCACCUGGGAAGUACGACCGCAAGGUUGAAACUCAAAGGAAUUGACGG